UUCCAGUUUAGCACAGAAUAAAAUCUGGACUGUAUGUGUUUGUGAAGAUUUUGUGUCUACAUGGUCAUCAGCCAAGAAGGGAUUUUGAAAAUAGAAGAGGAGGCAUCAACACCGUAAACAUCAUGGCUGAGUUAUUUUGUGAGAAGGAUAAGCCUAAAGUAAAAAUCUUGGAUUUGCCUAUGUCCUUGAA
Molecule: long non-coding RNA, 190 nt
Organism: Mandrillus leucophaeus (drill)
Lineage: Eukaryota; Metazoa; Chordata; Mammalia; Primates; Cercopithecidae
Exons: 2
Source: RefSeq, a predicted model, not a curated record